AACGAACGCUGGCGGCAGGCCUAACACAUGCAAGUCGAACGCCGUAGCAAUACGGAGUGGCAGACGGGUGAGUAACGCGUGGGAACCUACCUUACGGUCGGGAAUAGCUCAGGGAAACUUGGGGUAAUACCGGAUACGCCCUUACGGGGAAAGAUUUAUCGCCGUUAGAUGGGCCCGCGUAGGAUUAGCUAGUUGGUGAGGUAAUGGCUCACCAAGGCGACGAUCCUUAGCUGGUCUGAGAGGAUGAUCAGCCACACUGGGACUGAGACACGGCCCAGACUCCUACGGGAGGCAGCAGUGGGGAAUAUUGGACAAUGGGCGCAAGCCUGAUCCAGCCAUGCCGCGUGAGUGACGAAGGCCUUAGGGUUGUAAAGCUCUUUUGGCGGGGAAGAUAAUGACGGUACCCGCAGAAUAAGCUCCGGCUAACUUCGUGCCAGCCGCCGCCGUAA
RNAcentral lists this ribosomal RNA (449 nucleotides) under uncultured bacterium. Its description in RNAcentral is "partial 16S ribosomal RNA". It matches the Rfam family "Bacterial small subunit ribosomal RNA", at positions 29 to 523 of the family's 1533-position model. The record is from RNAcentral.